RNAcentral lists this long non-coding RNA (1021 nucleotides) under Homo sapiens (human). RNAcentral describes it as "HSALNT0074451". The record is from RNAcentral. Lineage: Eukaryota; Metazoa; Chordata; Mammalia; Primates; Hominidae.
GCUGAGAUUACAGGCAUUACUGGCCUAGAAAAACAAAUUCUGAAUAAGUAUGAUAAGACAAAUUCCUUGCCAGCAACUCAAUUUUAGAAAAUAUAGUUUUUAAUCUCAGGUAGCUUGGGAUGGCAGAAACAAACUGUCUUACUGUUUAUUCUUGAAAUAUACACUAAGAAACCUAUAUUCAUAAGAAGAACUCUUUUAAAAGGGAUAACAUUUCAUAAAAACUUUAUUAUUGACUUACAUUUAACAUAUGAGCUGUAGUAUUCUUCUAGAAUUUUAUAUUCGUUUUUAUUUUCUUGAGUUUUUUUGUUUUUGUUUUUGUUUUGUUUUGUUUUAGUUUUUGGUUUUUGGUUUGUUUGUUUUUUUGUUUUUUUUGAGACAGGGUCUCACUCACUCUGUCACCCAGGCUGGAGUGCAGUGGCAUGAUCUCGGCUCACUGUACCCUCGACCUCCUGGGCACAAGCAAUACUCACUCAGCCUCUUGAGUAGCUGGGACUACAGGCACAUGCCCCCAUUCCUGGCUAAUUUUCGUAUUUUUAGUAAAGAUAGGAUUUUGCCAUGUUGCCCAGGCUGGUCUCAAAUUUCUGAGCUCAAACAGUCCUCCUGCCUUGGCCUCCCAAAAUGCUGGGAUUCCAGGCAUAAGCCACCAUGCCCAGCCUAUUUUUUAUUUUCUUGAAUAUUAAAGGCAUUCCAUGACUAUUGAAGUCAACUAGUUUAAGUCUAAUGAAGACCUGAUUAAAGUUAAAUAUUUACCAAAAUAAAAACAAUUAUUAUUACCAAAGUAACACCAAUCUUUAAAAAUCAUUCCAAAAAAUUAAAGUAUCCUGCAGGGACUAUAUUCAGCAUGAGAGAUGAAGUAGGGAAUGUCAGGACUCUGAGCCUAAGCUAAGCCAUCAUAUCCCUAGUGACCUGCAUGUAUACAUCCAGAUGGCCGGUUCCUGCCUUAACUGGUGAUAUUCCGCCACAAAAGAAGUGAAAAUGGCCUGUUCCUGCCUUAACUGAUGACAUUACCUUGUGAAAUUCC